UUGGCAAACUUAUUGAAAAGUAAGGACGCAAAGCCAGAGGGUCUAAGCCGAUACGAAUUCGGUACGACAGCCGGUUGC
RNAcentral lists this non-coding RNA (78 nucleotides) under bovine gut metagenome. RNAcentral describes it as "Cyclic di-GMP-I riboswitch". It matches the Rfam family "c-di-GMP-I riboswitch aptamer", at positions 11 to 83 of the family's 87-position model. Rfam says of the family: GEMM was predicted in a large-scale screen for bacterial structured RNA regulatory elements. Genes associated with GEMM are involved in a diverse array of functions, including chemotaxis regulation, signal transduction, secretion and chitin. The record is from RNAcentral.